This 1095-nucleotide long non-coding RNA is filed under the name Brassica rapa (field mustard). RNAcentral's name for it is "long non-coding RNA (BRAP_LNC003403)". Lineage: Eukaryota; Viridiplantae; Streptophyta; Magnoliopsida; Brassicales; Brassicaceae. The record is from RNAcentral.
GAUCAUGUACUAAUCUUCUCACAUACAAUAAACAAAUUGGUAAACUAGACAUAGAGGAUCAUUAGUAUUAAGAUGUCUUAUAGUAAAAUAAAGACAAUUUUAUAAGAGUUAGAUAUUAGUAGUUAUGAGAAGUAUAUAAUUAAUUUAUGACGGUUCGGAUUGGCACGAGUUCAUCACAAAUAAAUAAAAAGCUAUCAGUUUAUUAUGGGAUUAGAUAACAUAGUCUUGAAGGCUAUGAACUCGAACAUUCUUUAACUAUGGUCCACUACAAGGCCUGAGUAAAGUAUUCUCUACGGUUCAUGCAAGACUAGCUUGCGCAACUUGAUUGUGGUCCAGGAUCCUUUUUUGCUUGUAGUGGACCUAUUGGUGACUCAAAAUGUGUUUGUCAGGUUCAUGCAGUACAAUAAAUCUUUUUAUUUUUCAAGCAAGGGUCAUGGACUAUAUUAUUGUGCUUUGUUACUAUGCAUGAGCCACGUGAAUGCAUCAAUAUUGAUAGGGCCGUUCUUUUUUUUUCUUUUUUUUUUCGAGCAACAAGGGCUGUUCUUAUAUAUACAAAAUAAGCAUUAGUGUUGAAAAUCCCACUCAUGAGUGAUUUAAUGGUAGAUGGAUUUUGGGAAACUAAACAAUCCAGAUUCGAAUCAACCCCACGAUAUUAAACAGUGUAGUCACGCAGAUAUGAAACUAUUAUUUGAGUCCCAUUUGAAUAUUCAGAAAAAAAAUUCAUAUUUAGACCAUGUAUCUCCACUUGAGAGACUAGUUUGAGUUUUUCUAUAGGUUUGGGAUACUCUCAAGUUAAUCAACAAAACUCCAAAUAUUUUAGUUAUAUAAAGUAUAUAAUCUCAAAUCAUUAAAACAAAAUUUUAUAUUUAGCCUCUAAUAUUAAAUGUGAAAAUGUAUAUUUGGGUUAGGUUGUGAAUGGUUAAUGGCCCUUUCAUUUUUUUCCCAGCUGGACGAUCCAUUUCUUACGGGUUUUGUGGUCUAAAUAAAAAUGAUAAUGUAUGUCUGCAUGCACGCCGAUGGAACAUGUAAUUCUUAUCCGUGUAAUGGUGGCCUCUAUAGCACUUAUAUGAUAAAGAAAAAUUAAAGGUGAAUUCG